This 505-nucleotide ribosomal RNA is filed under the name uncultured bacterium. RNAcentral describes it as "partial 16S ribosomal RNA". It matches the Rfam family "Bacterial small subunit ribosomal RNA", at positions 28 to 507 of the family's 1533-position model. The record is from RNAcentral.
GACGAACGCUGGCGGCGUGCCUAAUACAUGCAAGUAGAACGCACAGUUUAUACCGUAGCUUGCUACACCAUAGACUGUGAGUUGCGAACGGGUGAGUAACGCGUAGGUAACCUGCCUGGUAGCGGGGGAUAACUAUUGGAAACGAUAGCUAAUACCGCAUAAUAUUAAUUAUUGCAUGAUAAUUAAUUGAAAGGUGCAAUUGCACCACUACCAGAUGGACCUGCGUUGUAUUAGCUAGUAGGUGAGGUAACGGCUCACCUAGGCGACGAUACAUAGCCGACCUGAGAGGGUGAUCGGCCACACUGGGACUGAGACACGGCCCAGACUCCUACGGGAGGCAGCAGUAGGGAAUCUUCGGCAAUGGACGAAAGUCUGACCGAGCAACGCCGCGUGAGUGAAGAAGGUUGUCGGAUCGUAAAGCUCUGUUGUAAGAGAAGAACGGGUGUGAGAGUGGAAAGUUCACACUGUGACGGUAACUUACCAGAAAGGGACGGCUAACUACGUG